RNAcentral lists this ribosomal RNA (270 nucleotides) under uncultured soil bacterium. RNAcentral's name for it is "partial 16S ribosomal RNA". It matches the Rfam family "Bacterial small subunit ribosomal RNA", at positions 26 to 280 of the family's 1533-position model. The record is from RNAcentral.
AGAAUCAACGCUGGCGGCGUGCCUAACACAUGCAAGUCGAGCGCGAAAGGGGGGGUAACUCCCCAAGUAGAGCGGCGAACGGGUGAGUAACGCGUGGGUAAUCUGCCUUCGAGUGGGGAACAACCCCGGGAAACUGGGGCUAAUACCGCAUGACAUCGUCGACUCUUCGGAGCUGACGAUCAAAGCCGGGGACCGCAAGGCCUGGCGCUUGAAGAGGAGCCCGCGUCCGAUUAGCUAGUUGGCGGGGUAAUGGCCCACCAAGGCUGCGAU